AACUAAAAAAUAUUCCCCCAAAAAUGUAUCUAAAAACUUCGAAUGGAACUUGAUAACGCUAAUGUUCCCUUUUCUGUUCUCACAAAAAAAUUGUUGCUGUUUUUAUGUUUUUGACGAGAUCAUUGACUCMUUCACGCAAGUCCUUUCACUUUCCAUUUCUUGAGAACCGAAAAUAAUCGCUCUCAGAUUUGCAAGCAACAGUUCGUCAUUUUGCUCUUAUAACAUAUCUCGUUUCAUAUUUGAAUCUAGGACAAACGCACACAAACGAAAGAUAAAUAACAAGGAUGGCGAAGGAGGGUGGAACGGUCAGAGUGUGUGGGUUACCCCUAGAUAUCAGUAAAAACAGACUGAUCGACAAGCUCCACAUUCAUUUCAUGCGGAAGAGGAAUGGAGGAGGGGACAUUUCAUCUGUCACGGUCUCCAAGACAACGCCCGGCUCUGCCUUCAUUACCUUUGAGGACAGCGAAGUGGCUCGGAGAGUGGUUGAACAUCAGAAUCACACAUUAUCAGUGAAUGACAAGCAAUAUGAGCUAAGUGUGAGUUUGCACAGCAAAGACGUUGACCCAGAUGAGCUCUUUGUGGACACAGCUGUGACAGUGGACUACAGCAAAUUGAAUGGGGGGAAAACAUCGAUAUCUAACAUCCUCAAAAAUGCCUGCGACAUAAAAUGCACCUUUCACGUUCAGGCUGACCUCUGCACUUUCAAAGGUCGCUACACAGAAGUCCAAAUCCUGACCAAGUGUCUGCUGAGACUUUUCAAUUCACAGACCUCAAAAGAUGUCCAUUCCCUUAAAGCUGAGGCCACCACCAAGGAUGACAAAAGAUACAACUCUGCUCAAGGACGAACAGAAAAACAGCAGGACACUGAGACCUCAGGACAGGCCAACGGACUGGAUCUGGGGAACGGUUCCAGUAGAGCCUCUGAGAGUAAUCGUGCCCUUCUUCAAGAAUCUUACACCAAUGAUAGAAAGGGGGCGGAUGCAUUGUACACAUCAUACACCAAUCAUAGAGAGGAAGCGGGGGCAUUGCAUACAUCUUACACCAGUGACAUAGAGGAUGCAGUGGCAUUAGAGAAGGGAACCUCAAUGGAGGACUUCUCAAUGGUCAUAGACUCAGACAUCUUCCGAUACCUCCGAAAGUACUGCUCGGCUGAGUACCAGAACAUCCUCGACAGGCAUGGAGUAGAGAUACUGGAUGUCGCCACCAGAGAUAUCACCACCCUCUACCUGCAGCUUAAGGCUGGGGCCACUGGGCGAGKUGUGGAGCAUCUAAGGCUUGCGCAUGGGGAGCUGGCCUGGCUGUACCAAGACAAAGAGGCCCAACUUCGCAAGGAGCAGUUGGCUAAGGAAAGCUUCCCCGGGUUGGGGCUCCAGCAGGCUUUUAAAACCUUAACGCAGAGAUUCACAAAGCUGCUGAUCAAUGAAGACAAGUCCAAUGUCUAUCUGGUGGGCAGUGGAAGUGACGUGUCGGAGGCCAAGCAGUUCCUAUUGGAAAUGCAAGGGACAACAAAGGAGCACGGUCAAGAGUUACUUCACUCCUCAGGAGAUGCGUCUCUACCCUUUGUCCCUGACACCAAGCUUAGAAAAGAAAGGGCUGUGAGGAGCAAAGAAUUCAAAAUGGCUGCCACAUUUGGGAGAACUAUGGGUUCUGAGAAACCUAAAGAUGAUGAGAAUUGGUCCAGCUUGAGUGACGUAAAGGCUCCUGRGGAUCACCAGAUAAAUAGUUUCUCGUCCACAAAACCCAUUAGAAUGAAUGACCAGAAAUUAGGUAGUGGACCAAUUUCAGGGAUUACGAGUCAGAAUGUUGAAAUKUCAAGUUCUGGUCCAAGGGAUCUCCAGGAAGACACCCUCUUCAAAAGGUAUGAACCAUUGUCSACUGCUUCCUUGUCUGGUAAACCCCCUCUGAACUUGGCACAAAACAAUGAAACCAGACCCACAAAAGCAGCAAACUUUAGUGAAUUCCAGGGCUACUCAAUGGAUGAUAUGGACAUGUCUGUGGAUAGGGCGGUUCCAACUGGCGUAGUCCAACAAUCCAAGUCAAUUUCCACUCUGAGACGGUCCAACAGUUUCUCAGGGCAGGUUAGGACCAAACAAGUCAGAAAGGACAGCAGCUCAGCUGUAGACCUGUUUGGAAAGACCAAAGGAGGCGAAACUACUAGUCACCCAGAGACUAGGCAAGUCUUCAGUGUAGAGCUGGUGGUGCCCACAACUCAAUGGUUAUACACAAAGGAUGUUUUCCGCAUACUGCUAGAGGAAGUAACCUCUGACCUGCAGAUGAAGGAGAAAAAAACAUUAAAUGAGGUCGUCCUCCAACUGAGAGGGAAAGAUCCAGCCAACGUCAGGGUGUGUCAGCAGGUGCUGAAAAAGCUGAUUGCCAAGGUGGCCGAGGACUUCUCCACCCAUGAGCUGUUGUUAACACAGCUGGGUGUGUCAGACUCGAAGAAUGAGACAGUUGAGGUGUUAUGCACCACUGUGAGAGAGACAUGGGAGAAAGUGAAAAUCAUUCCAAUGCCAAAUACUAAGAGCAUUUUAAUCUUUGGUCCAACACUGGAUUGUUUCGAGGCGAUAUCAUUUCUAAAAGAGAUGCUUCACUUUGGAACAGAGGGGGAACAGACCAUGAAAGAGAGACCCAUUGAUCUUAAGAAACCAUCUUCUGAUUCUCCAUCCAACCCUGACAUAAACCCCUCAGCAGCGCAUCAGAGCUCUGCCAGUAGUGACAAACAAGACCAGGAGACCACCUCUGCGACCGACAUUGUUUCAUCAGGGAGCUCGGAGGGAGUGAGCCAAUCAGGUGUGAAGAAAGUGCCUGUUUUGAAGCUUCGGUUAGGAGCAGCUGGUCCCGUAGAUGAAAAGAGUUUCAGGACAAUCAGUGCUCCCUAUAAAGCAGAGGGGUCACUAAGAGUGACAGAAGGAAAUGAUGCAGCACCAUUACCAGAGCACAGUGCUCAGAGGUUGACAGGGCCAAAGCCUGAGGAAAGCCAGAUACCUAACAGUAGGGGACUGCAGACCCAAAAGAACCAUAGCGAAGGAAAUGCCGGUUUGUCCUGUAUAUGUGGAACCGCAGGGGAAUCUGUAUCUUGGACGGCUGGUGGAAAAGCCAUGUGCCCAUCAUGCGUGGAAUGUACAAAGUCUCAUGCAAUGAAUCCGCAAAGCGCCUCCGCCAAACAUUACGGGGCAAGCCGGUCCAAUGAGAAGCAAGAUGUGAAAGACACCGAGGUGAAGGCCAGUCCAUCUUGUGUAGGUGGAACCACUGGGGAAUCUGUGUCUAUGACUGCUUGUGGCGGGGCCUUGUGCCAGAAUCACAUCCAUCCCGACUGUAAAGUACGCCCUAAAUCUAAGGAGGUUGUCGUGGGCAUCCGAGGGACCAUGACCCGCAGUGAGAUGUCCAUCAGUCUGAUUGGGUACAACAAGGAUACAACACUGAAGAUAACCUACAACAUUCCUGAUGGCAUCCAAGGGAAAGACCAUCCAAACCCUGGGGGAUCUUUCCAAGGGGGCACGUUCCAUGCCUUCCUGCCUCUGAAUGAAACGACUCUCAAGCUUCUGCCAUGCCUCGAACGUGCCUUUCAUCGAGGCCUCACCUUCAAUGUGAGAGUAGGGGACACUAGGGAUUGUGUGACCUGGGGUAGCAUCCCACACAAGACCAGCAUCGAGGGAGGGUUUUCCAGGAAUGGAUACCCAGACUCAAGAUAUCUCAGAUGCUUAGCUGAGGCACUGAGGUCUCAUGGUAUCGAGGAGGGCUGAAAAACUGCAAUGGAUCAAGACCUGAGAAAAACCUCAAAACUGACCGAACAGCGCUUUAAAAAUCUACAGUUCCACUUUCAAGUCUGAGUUGUUUGGAGUGACACUUGGAAUAUACCGGUCUACUGGUCAGAAACAAAGUAACUACACAUCUACCACAAACAGAGCAAAMUAAAAAGAUCCCCCAAAGAAUGCUUACACUGAUUCGGUCAUGCUCUCCACAGCUCCAGUAUUGCGUUUAUACAGAAUAAUUCAAGGACUGUGUGCAGUACUGUUACUGAAGUGCAGGGGGAGCAAUUGGUCUGUAUUUGAGAUUGUCCAGAAUCCCAAGCAGGAUACUGUAUAUAGGACAGCUCAGGGCGUGAAAGC
Molecule: RNA transcript, 4109 nt
Organism: Salvelinus sp. IW2-2015
Lineage: Eukaryota; Metazoa; Chordata; Actinopteri; Salmoniformes; Salmonidae
Source: RefSeq, a predicted model, not a curated record